Molecule: RNA transcript, 1651 nt
Organism: Diachasmimorpha longicaudata
Lineage: Eukaryota; Metazoa; Arthropoda; Insecta; Hymenoptera; Braconidae
Gene: Cyt-b5
Gene name: cytochrome b5-like
Exons: 6
Source: RefSeq, a predicted model, not a curated record
GACACAACUCACGUGAGAAAAAAGUCAACAGAAGUUGGUAGAAAAAAAAUCUAACAACUAAUUUCCAUUCGUUAACAAUUUUGCAAAUAUAUCGAGCGCAAACGUCCCCGACAUCAAUAGAUUUGGCGGUAAUGUCGAACACUACUGUUGGUAAAGGUGAGCUCUGACCUGAAGAACCAGUGUUUUUUUUAACUGUUCGCAGUAAAGUGUCUCAUUGUUAAAAGAAUUCCUUCACAAUUAAACUGCAACCAUCCUCAAGUAAUUGAUAAAUGGAGAACAUGACGAGCCCGGCAUCAUCAUCGAAAGUCAGGUUGUUUACGCGAUAUGAGGUCUCACGGCAUGACGAAACCGAUGAGACUUGGAUUAUUAUUCACAAUAGUGUCUAUGAUGUCACUGACUUUCUUGCUAAGCACCCUGGAGGUGCAGAUCUCCUCAUAGAACAAUCAGGACUCGAUGCAAGUGAUCCUUUUGAAAACGUGGGGCAUUCCAGUGACGCCCGGCAGAUGAUGGAAAAGUAUAAAAUUGGAGAAGUCGUGGAGGAGGAGAGAACUCCCCCCUGGAAAGACGAUACAAAGCGAGAUGGGGCGAAUGGAACUGGAGAAGACGACGGAUCCAGAAAAGAUUCUGGAUAUCUUCAAAAAUAUUUUAACAAUAUCUAUUGCAUUUAUUUAUGAAGUCUAUCAGCAUUGAAAUGGAAAAACAACGUGAGUAAUUGGCUGAUGGAUUCAAUGGAAUGAGGAUGAAUUAAUUCUACAAUUAAUUUGUCGCUGCUGCGUGCUGAUGUGAUGAUUGGCAAUUGCAGUGGUUCAUGGAGAUCCUGGCUGAUUCCAAUCACCCUGGGAGUCCUCGCAACAAUCGUAUACCGUUAUUUCAUCGGUGCUCGCUGAAGAAUACAUUCCUCGAUAACAGAAAUGAGAUUCGCAACUCAAUAUCUCAUCCUUCACUCUCUCUAACGCUUUAUCAGGGAGUUAAUACACAAAGCCGAAGAGGGAGUAGAUACAGCAAAUUUGUUAUAUGAAUACUUUUUAUUAUUUUUACAUUGUAUUAUGUAGAACUAGGGAACGUUCUUUUUCAUGUGCGAAUAUCCAGGGAUCAGUGGGCCUAGCGAUGAUAGUCAAAUGUCAUGAAUAUAUUUACAUACGUUCUAUUGAAUAUUUUCUGGACAAAUGUCAAAUACUUCUGCCAUUGUAGCACAAGUUCAAUAGCGAAACGAUUCACGGGGAAAUGGAUUUAUGUAAAUUUUUCAUGGUGUUCCUCCUGAAAUGAUUAUUGCUUGUUUAUGAAACUAUUUCAUUGACUCACUCAUGUUCUACUCGAAAGAAUCAAUUUAUUUCCCUGCAAAAUAUUGUUUCGUGGAGGAAAACACUUUUUAGGCAAGAAAAUUUUGUAUAUGGGAACGUUAAUCUUUUCGGCAGCGUUAUUUUUUUCCUCGGUGGCUGAUCAAGUGAAUAAUAUAGUUUCAUAAAAUUUAGUAAUUGCAGGAAGAGCAGGAAAAGUUGAAUUCAAAGGGUAAAGGACUUAGUCAUGUUUUAUCACUUGGCCGCUCGGAUUUAUUGAAUGUAAUUUCUAUCUAUGGAAAACAGAUCUUUUCGGCUAUGACUCGCUAUUACUGUGUAUGAUUCUCGUUAUAAUAAAUCAAAAUGAAACACGA